CAGCCGCCGCGGUAAUACAGAGGGUGCAAGCGUUAAUCGGAAUUACUGGGCGUAAAGCGUGCGUAGACGGUUACAUAAGUCGGGUGUGAAAGCCCCGGGCUCAACCUGGGAAUUGCAUUCGAGACUGCGUAGCUAGGGUGCGGAAGAGGGAAGCGGAAUUUCCGGUGUAGCGGUGAAAUGCGUAGAUAUCGGAAGGAACACCAGUGGCGAAAGCGGCUUCCUGGUCCAGCACCGACGUUCAGGCACGAAAGCGUGGGGAGCAAACAGGAUUAGAUACCCUGGUAGUCCACGCCAUAAACGAUGAGAACUAGACGUUGAAGGGGUAAGCCCUCCAGUGUCGUAGCUAACGCGCUAAGUUCUCCGCCUGGGGAGUACGGCCGCAAGGUUGAAACUUAAAGGAAUUGGCGGG
RNAcentral lists this ribosomal RNA (409 nucleotides) under uncultured microorganism. RNAcentral's name for it is "bacterial SSU rRNA". It matches the Rfam family "Bacterial small subunit ribosomal RNA", at positions 509 to 917 of the family's 1533-position model. The record is from RNAcentral.